Molecule: long non-coding RNA, 1168 nt
Filed under: Oncorhynchus mykiss (rainbow trout)
Lineage: Eukaryota; Metazoa; Chordata; Actinopteri; Salmoniformes; Salmonidae
Description: lncRNA (ENSOMYG00000030126.2)
Source: RNAcentral
UGAUACCUCCUUUGUACCACCUCACACACAUGAGGUGACCACACCCAUUACAACCAACAUGUCCAGAGAUACAACCUCUCUUAUCAUAACCCAGUGCCUGGGCUUACCUCCGCUGUACCCGCACCCCACCAUACCCCUGUCUGCGCAUUAUGCCCUAAAUGUAUUCUACAAUGCCCAGAAAUCUUAACAGUCCAAUGACUGACAGCAGCCGACCACCGAGUGCUAAAGGCUCUUUUUGAUCCUCCACUCCGUCUUUCACCAGCAAGGGAACCUCUUUGGUACCAACAGGCAGCAGAUCUGACAGAAACAUCUCAGCAACUCAUCAGACAAGUCCUGUCUGAGUUCUGUGCUGCAUCCAGAUUCUCCAGGACACAGGCAUAUUCCCAGAACCUGAACAUCCAUAGGGUGUUCAGAGGUGUACAUAAAAACCUCAUGGAGGAGUUUGGCUCUUAUAACACCCUGCAAGCAGCUAUUUCCUCCCAGGACCCUGCAUUUGACAGAGUCCUGGUAAAGUCCUUGACCCAGCAGCUGGUACAAGGAUGCAAGGAGGCGUCAAGACCAGCUUCUGCUGCAACAAACCCAUCAGACCAGGCUGAGACAGAGAGGGGGGCUGAGCAGAAAGCAAGAAGGAGCUUCCUUUGCUUUUCAAUGACCAAACUCAGGAUCAACUUCAAGCGUUCCAAGAGAGGAAACAAAAAGGACUGCCAUUCAGUCCAGGAACAGACUGAAAUUCCCUCUACUGAUGCACAUUGCAUAGUUCCCGUUGGAGAGGUUUCUCCCUCCAUAUCUCAGCCUGUCAAAAAACGAUCCUUGAUUGUCAGGGUCUUUUCAGCAAUGAUGAAGCCAUUCAGGCGCUUCACCAAGAAGAACCUGUAACCUGUUACGCUGCAUGAAGAACUACUUUUGUAACAGCAAGACUUUUGACAAGAGGAAUUUCUGCAUGUCUACCCUUUCAAAGUCUAUUUGGUCAAAUAAAUGCAAAUUAUUUCACAAGAAUUUCAAGUGUUUUGGAAGAUUGGUAAUACUGAAGCAGAUUUUCUCAGAGAAAUGCACUAGUUCCUCCUUGGUUACAUAUUUAUUGUGCAGUUUUUUGAGUUGGCAGGACUUGGGGCAGCAGGUAGCCUUGUGGUUAGAGCGUUGGGCCAGUAACUGAAAGGUUGCUAGGUCA